GAAGCAUGAAGCUUUGGUGUGGUUGCAAUCGAUGGGAAAAAGAUCGAGGUGUAACCGCUGGAUUUCAUAUAGAUCUGGUGGCGAUGACUAGAUUGAUGAGGUUUUGGUUGGAAUUCGCGACUGGAUGCUUAAGUUUAGGAAAACAAGGGUUUGGUAUAAUAGGGUUUUGGUUGCUGUUUUUCAGAAGUAAAAGGCGGAGGUGCUUCUAGGCCUCAACUGGGUCAUGGGUUUCGAAGUGAUCUAUUUAAGAUGGUUGCAGAUAUGAAGCCUG
Helianthus annuus (common sunflower) is the source of this 271-nucleotide long non-coding RNA. RefSeq lists it as uncharacterized. The record is from RefSeq and is a predicted model, not a curated record. NCBI's taxonomy places the organism in Eukaryota, Viridiplantae, Streptophyta, Magnoliopsida, Asterales, Asteraceae. The transcript has 4 exons.